CCUGCCGGAGGCGACCGCUGUGGGAGUCCGAUUAAGCCAUGCGAGUCGAGAGAAUAAGAUUCUCGGCAUACCGCUCAGUAACACGUGGAUAACCUGCCCUGUGCUGGGGGAUAACCUCGCGAAAGUGAGAACAAUACCCCAUGGGUCACUAUGCCUGGAACGGUUAGUGGCUGAAAGCUCCGGCGGCACAGGAUGGGUCUGCGGCGUAUCAGGUCGUAGGGGGUGUAACGUACCUCCUAGCCUUCGACGCGUACGGGUUGUGAGAGCAAUUGCCCGGAGAUGGAUUCUGAGACACGAAUCCAGGCCCUACGGGGCGCAGCAGGCGCGAAAACUUGACAAUGCGAGAAAUCGUGAUCAGGGGACUCCAGUUGGCUGGAUCAAAAGUCCAGUCUGAACCGACUUUAAAUCGGUCGGGUAAUAGGGGCGGGAAAGACCGGUGCCAGCCGCCGCGGUAAUACCGGCGCCCCAAGUGGUCGUCACUAUUAUUGGGCCUAAAACGUCCGUAGCCGGUUUGGUAAAUCCGUGGGUAAAUCAGACAGCCCAACUGUCUGAAUUCUGCGGGGACUGCCAGACUUGAGACCGGGAGAGGUGCGGGGUACCUGCGGGGUACCGGUAAAAUGGGAUCAUCCCGUAGAGACCACCUGUUGCGAAGGCGCCGCACUAGAACGGAUCUGACGGUCAGGGACGAAGCCUAGGGGCACGAACCGGAUUAGAUACCCGGGUAGUCCUAGGUGUAAACGCUGUGGACUUGGUGUCGGGGACCUUCUGAGGGUUUCCGGUGCCCGGAGUGAAGAUGUUAAGUCCACUGCCUGGGGAGUACGGUCGC
This 826-nucleotide ribosomal RNA is filed under the name uncultured Candidatus Poseidoniales archaeon. Its description in RNAcentral is "SSU rRNA". It matches the Rfam family "Archaeal small subunit ribosomal RNA", at positions 13 to 844 of the family's 1478-position model. Lineage: Archaea; Methanobacteriati; Thermoplasmatota; Candidatus Poseidoniia; Candidatus Poseidoniales. The record is from RNAcentral.